Vicia villosa (hairy vetch) is the source of this 2234-nucleotide RNA transcript. RefSeq lists it as uncharacterized. The transcript is spliced from 7 exons. The record is from RefSeq and is a predicted model, not a curated record. NCBI's taxonomy places the organism in Eukaryota, Viridiplantae, Streptophyta, Magnoliopsida, Fabales, Fabaceae.
CCAUGCUUCUAUUUAACUACGCUUCAGAAAAUCAAAAUAAAAACCAAAUGCUUCGUGAAGAAGGGUUCGUGAUAGAUAGGGACGAAACGAAACGAAACCAUGCUUCCUCAACAUUUUGGGGUUUCCGAUUCACCAUUACCAGCUAAACCGCGUGUUAUGAACGCUGAAAAGAUAAAAAAAGUCUGUCUAAUGUGUGGUGAUAAAGGAGUUACAAAGCGCCUGGUAUACUGUAUCCAGUGUAAAGCAUGUGCCCAACAUAGUUAUUGUAUAGAGAAGAUCCACCGGGACGAUGAUGGGAAAAUAGUCUGGAGAUGCAUAGACUGUGCUCCAAGUAACCCAAAAUGCAAACCUGAAUUGUUUAGAAAAAGCGAACGAAUAAGUCAUGCAACUGAAGCUAAAUAUAAAAGGAUCGUAAUGAAAAAGAAGAGUGGCGCAGUUGGAAAACAAUCACUUAUCAGAUCAAAUGGAGGUGAAGGUAUUGGAUGCCAUGCUAAAAAUGAUGCUGAGAAGAUUUUGCCAAUCCUUCAGAAUGAAGAUGUUCUUUGUACUCAGCCGGCAUCACACAAAGCCAAAGAUCCUUUGAAUAUGUCAUCUGUCAGAUCAAAAGAAGGUGCAAGUGUUGGAUGCCAUGCUAAAAAUGAUGCUGAGAAGAUUUUGCCAAUCCUUAAGAAUGAAGAUGUUCUUUGUACUCAGCCAGCAUCACACAGAGCCAAAGAUCCUUUGUAUAUGUCAUCUGUCAGAUCAAAAGAAGGUGUAAGUGUAGGAUGCCAUGCUAAAAACGACGCUGAGAAGAUUUUGCCAGUCCUUGAGAAUGAAAAUGGUCUUUGUAAUCAGCCUGAAUCACCCCAAGCCAAAGAUCCUUUGAAUAUGUCAUCUGAAUAUAAAAGGAUGAUAAUGAAAAAGAAGAGUGGCUCAGAUAAAAAACAAUCACUUGUCGGAUUAAAUGAAGGUGAAAGUGUUGGAUGCCAUGCUAAAAAUGACGCUGAGAAGAUUUUGCCAGUCCUUAAGAAUGAAGAUGUUCUUUGUAAUCACCCUGAAUCACCUGAAGCCAAAGAUCCUUCGAAUAUUUCAUGUGACAAACAAGCAAUGAAGUCUGAUAUAUAUCUGGAGCCUGAAGCCAUAAAUAUAAAGCCUCAGCUCUUGCAUUAUCCAGAGUUUGAUAAAUAUAGCCGUGCUCAGCCACUUAGUGAUCCAAUUUGGGGGGGGCAAUUUAGAUUGAACAAUGCAACAUAUUUUCAUAUUGUUGCUUAUUUGUCAAGCAAAGCUUACUCAAAAGUGAAAUCCGCGGCUACAGAGCUCCCCGAACUGCUUGAUGUAGAGUUGUUAUCUAGACAUGUUAUUUGGCCUCAGAGUUUUGUCACCCAUCCACCUGAUAGUGAUUGUAUUGGUCUUUAUUUUUUUCCUCAAUAUGAAAGGGAUGAGAUGAUCUUUGAUUCUGUGCUGAACAAUGCGAUCGAAAAGGAUAAUGCUCUCAAAGCAGUCAUCAACAACUACCUGGAACUCUUCAUUUAUUCCUCGCAUCUGUUGCCUCCCGAUGAUAGACGAAUCUGCAAAAAACAUUACUUGUGGGGUGCUUUCAAACCAAAACCAAGGAACUAGUAGUCAACUUCUAAUAUGCCGCAUUAACUCUCAAUAUGGGAUCUCAGACCAGACCAAUGGAAACAAAAUUCUCAAUGUUGUAGAGGUAAUGUCCCUUUUAUUUGCUCUUCUGAAGAAAACGAGCGAAAAAGCCAGAAAAAUCGUGAUUUCCAGUCGUUUUGCACACAUGGCGUCCAGCUCAGCGCCGACUGAAGGGAGCGUGGUGACAUGUCCCAUCUCGUCAAGGAGGUUAACUGCCACGUUCCCAUGUUCUCCAUGUUGGCCUGCUCCGCGGCCGCGAACCCCCCUCCACGAGCGCAGUCUGUGUAAAAAGUUUCCUGCUCAGAAGGAGUUGAGGGGAAUUCUCGUCUUUGCGCAUCUUCAAGAACCUUUAUAUAUAGUUUUGUUUCUCAUUUUCUUCAAACCAUCCAAGCUUAGUUACUACUUAAGCCAUAUACCAUCAGUAUCUGUAAUGUGAUAAUUCCUUCACAUCGAAGAGUUAUCACGGUGUAGAUUGAGUCUGUAAUCGGGUUUGGAGCACUUUCGUUGAAGUUCAUCAUACCGCUAUUUACAUUUCCUCGCCAUUUACCUUCUAAUUGUACCAGAUUUAAAGACUCUGAUUGGAACAGGUUUUUAUUUACACGCUUAUUUAAUCG